CAGCCACUAGGCUGCUUCCGGUGUGUCACUGAACACCUUCCCGGUCCCAGCAGCUGGAGGAUUUGUGUUUGGUAGCACCUGGGGGAUGGCUCUGUCCCGGGCGCACUUAGGCGGGGUGUGCGGAGCGCUUUACCUUCCACAGUGCUCGGCACACGCAUCCUUUUCGACAUCAUCACUUGACCUGCUGCAAUAGACAAGUCUUGCUGUGUUGCCCAGGCCGGAGUGCAGUGGUGCAAUCUCUGCUCAGUGCAACCUCCGCCUCCUGGGUUCAAGUGAUCAUUCUGCCUCAGGCUCCUGACUAAUUGGGAUUACAGGCAUGCACCACCACACCGGCUAAUGUUUGUAUUUUCAGUGGAGACGGGGUUUUACCAUGUUGGCCAGGCUGGUCUCAAACUCCUGACCUCAGGUGAUUCGCCUGCCUCGGCCUCCCGAAGUGCUGGGUUUACAGGCGUGAGCCACCGCCCGGCCUCAUGUCAUCAAAAGAAGAGAAAACAGAGGCACAAGAGAAGAUGACCACAGAAGACAGAGGCAGAGGCUGGGGUUAUGCUACCACAAACCGGAGAAUGCCAAGGAUUGCUGGCAACCACCAGGAGCCUGGGGAGAGGCGUGGAACCCCUCCUCCCUCAGAGGCCCCAGAAGGAUCCAACCCUGCUAAUACCUUGAUUUUAGACUUCCCACCCCCAGAACUGUGAGAAAAUAAAUUUCUAGCUGCU
This 713-nucleotide long non-coding RNA is filed under the name Pan troglodytes (chimpanzee). Its description in RNAcentral is "long non-coding RNA NONPTRT017924". Lineage: Eukaryota; Metazoa; Chordata; Mammalia; Primates; Hominidae. The record is from RNAcentral.